Molecule: ribosomal RNA, 427 nt
Filed under: uncultured bacterium
Lineage: Bacteria
Description: bacterial SSU rRNA
Rfam family: Bacterial small subunit ribosomal RNA
Source: RNAcentral
UGGGGAAUAUUGGACAAUGGGGGAAACCCUGAUCCAGCGACGCCGCGUGGGUGAAGAAGGCCUGCGGGUUGUAAAGCCCUUUCGGUUGGGAAGAAAAGUUGCGACCUAACACGUCGCGACCUUGACGUAACCAACUAAAGAAGCACCGGCUAACUCUGUGCCAGCAGCCGCGGUAAUACAGAGGGUGCGAGCGUUAAUCGGAAUUACUGGGCGUAAAGCGCGCGUAGGCGGCUUGGCAAGUCGGGUGUGAAAUCCCCGGGCUCAACCUGGGAACUGCAUUCGAGACUGCUUUGCUAGAGUAUGGGAGAGGGUAGUGGAAUUUCCGGUGUAGCGGUGAAAUGCGUAGAUAUCGGAAGGAACAUCAGUGGCGAAAGCGACUUCCUGGACCAAUACUGACGCUCAUGUGCGAAAGCGUGGGGAGCAAACA